CUAGUGAUUCCUACGGGGGGCAGCAGCAGGGAAUAUUGCGCAAUGGACGAAAGUCUGACGCAGCAACGCCGCGUGAGCGAUGAAGGUCUUCGGAUCGUAAAGCUCUGUCAGAGGGGACGAACCGUCUCACAUUGAAUAGGUGUGAGAUCUGACGGUACCCUCAGAGGAAGCACCGGCCAACUCCGUGCCAGCAGCCGCGGUAAUACGGAGGGUGCAAGCGUUGUUCGGAUUUACUGGGCGUAAAGCGCGAGCAGGCGGGUCAGUAAGUCUUGUGUGUAAUCUUUCGGCUUAACCGAAAAACUGCACGGGAAACUACUGAUCUUGAGUGCGAGAGAGGAUGGCGGAAUUCCUGGUGUAGCGGUGAAAUGCGUAGAUAUCAGGAGGAACACCGGUGGUGAAGGCGGCCAUCUGGCUCGACACUGACGCUCAUUCGCGAAGGCCGGGGGAGCAAACAGGAUUAGAUACCCUGGUAGUCCCGGCAGUAAACGAUGGGUACUAGGUGUUGGAGGAUUCUACCCCUUCAGUGCCGCAGCUAACGCAUUAAGUACCCCACCUGGGGAGUACGAUCGCAAGGUUGAAACUCAAAGGAAUUGACGGG
RNAcentral lists this ribosomal RNA (598 nucleotides) under uncultured bacterium. RNAcentral's name for it is "bacterial SSU rRNA". It matches the Rfam family "Bacterial small subunit ribosomal RNA", at positions 329 to 917 of the family's 1533-position model. The record is from RNAcentral.